GNUCAGAUUGAACGCUGGCGGUAUGCUUAACACAUGCAAGUCGAACGGAAACGAAACUAGCUUGCUAGUAGGCGUCGAGUGGCGGACGGGUGAGUAACGCGUAGGAAUCUGCCUGAUAGUGGGGGAUAGCCCGAAGAAAUUCGGAUUAAUACCGCAUAAUCUAUUCGUAGUAAAGUGGGGGACUUUCGAGCCUCACGCUAUCAGAUGAGCCUGCGUAAGAUUAGCUUGUUGGUAGGGUAAAAGCCUACCAAGGCAACGAUCUUUAGCUGGUCUGAGAGGAUGAUCAGCCACAUCGGGACUGAGACACGGCCCGAACUCCUACGGGAGGCAGCAGUGGGGAAUAUUGGACAAUGGGGGCAACCCUGAUCCAGCAAUACCGCGUGUGUGAAGAAGGCCCGAGGGUUGUAAAGCACUUUCAAUUGUGAAGAAAAGUUAGCGGUUAAUAACCGUUGACCUUGACGUUAACUAUAGAAGAAGCACCGGCUAACUCCGUGCCAGCAGCCGCGGUAAUACGGAGGGUGCAAGCGUUAAUCGGAAUUACUGGGCGUAAAGCGUGCGUAGGCGGUUUAUUAAGUCAGAUGUGAAAGCCCCGGGCUUAACCUGGGAACUGCAUUUGAAACUGGUCAACUAGAGUAUGGUAGAGGAAAGUGGAAUUUCUGGUGUAGCGGUGAAAUGCGUAGAUAUCAGAAGGAACAUCAAUGGCGAAGGCAGCUUUCUGGACCAAUACUGACGCUGAGGUACGAAAGCGUGGGUAGCAAACAGGAUUAGAUACCCUGGUAGUCCACGCCGUAAACGAUGAUAACUAGCCGUUGGGGGGAUUUACCCCUUAGUGGCGAAGCUAACGCGUUAAGUUAUCCGCCUGGGGAGUACGGCCGCAAGGCUAAAACU
Molecule: ribosomal RNA, 888 nt
Filed under: uncultured Thiotrichales bacterium
Lineage: Bacteria; Pseudomonadati; Pseudomonadota; Gammaproteobacteria; Thiotrichales
Description: SSU rRNA
Rfam family: Bacterial small subunit ribosomal RNA
Source: RNAcentral